GAUGAUUCUCACUGACUCAAAGGGUAGCAGGUCCGGGAGAAAAUGUCUCACUCAUUUCUUUAUUUAUUUACACGCCUAUCUUUAAGCUCAGCCGGUCUGUGAAACUACCACAAGCGUCACUCGGGAUCGAUAGCGCGAAGCAGCGUGGAGCACCUGACCGUGUCCAUCUUACAGUUAGCGGCGGCGGCUGCACCUGUGACCACGAGCGGGUUAAUGCUGCCUGUCUGGCUGACAGCAGGACAGAGGCAGGAAAGGGAAGCUUAAAUGAGUGAAUGGCAGGGGGCAGAGGAGGAGGAAGAGGAGUGACAGAAUGAUAAAGUGAAUUAAUUCAACCUUAGCCAGCCCUGAUUGACUCAGCACCAAACUGGCAUGUACAAACAUUCACAGUGACACCAAAGGCAUGGAGAGAGAAAAGAGGAAUGAUAUGUCCUACUCUAGAAAGAGAAGUUUCACUUUUGGGGCAUAUGGCAGUGUGGAUAGAUUCACAUGUGGGGAUGAGACGGGACCUGAAUUCGUGCAGGACAAAAGUCUGGACACCCUGGAUUCUCCUACCAGUGAGCGCAAG
Molecule: long non-coding RNA, 565 nt
Organism: Astatotilapia calliptera (eastern happy)
Lineage: Eukaryota; Metazoa; Chordata; Actinopteri; Cichliformes; Cichlidae
Source: Ensembl